AGGUGCGAUCAUAACAGCACUAAUGCACCGGAUCCCAUCAGAACUCCGCAGUUAAGCCUGCUUGGGCGAGAGUAGUACUAGGAUGGGUGACCUCCUGGAAGUCCUCGUGUUGCACCUC
This 118-nucleotide ribosomal RNA is filed under the name Vigna angularis (adzuki bean). Lineage: Eukaryota; Viridiplantae; Streptophyta; Magnoliopsida; Fabales; Fabaceae. The record is from RNAcentral.